RNAcentral lists this ribosomal RNA (292 nucleotides) under uncultured bacterium. RNAcentral's name for it is "partial 16S ribosomal RNA". It matches the Rfam family "Bacterial small subunit ribosomal RNA", at positions 505 to 796 of the family's 1533-position model. The record is from RNAcentral.
GUGCCAGCAGCCGCGGUAACACGGGGGGAGCGAGCGUUGUUCGGAAUCACUGGGCGUAAAGGGCGUGUAGGCGGUCCGGUAAGUGGGAUGUGAAAGCCCUCGGCUCACCCGAGGAAAGUCAUCUCAUACUGCUGGGCUUGAGUGCGGGAGAGGAUGGAGGAAUUCCUGGUGUAGCGGUGAAAUGCGUAGAUAUCAGGAGGAACACCGGUGGCGAAGGCGUCCAUCUGGCCCGUUACUGACGCUGAAACGCGAAAGCUAGGGGAGCAAACGGGAUUAGAAACCCUCGUAGUCC